This 7172-nucleotide long non-coding RNA is filed under the name Homo sapiens (human). Its description in RNAcentral is "HSALNT0403592". The record is from RNAcentral. Lineage: Eukaryota; Metazoa; Chordata; Mammalia; Primates; Hominidae.
UUCUCUUUCUGGUUCAGAUCGGUUAAAUAAUAAUUUACAUAUCUUAAGAUUCACCUUUUUUAGAUGUACAGUGCUAUGAGGUUGAUAAAUGUAUACAGUUCUGGAACCAAUACCACAAAUAAGAUAUGGAAUGUUCAUUUCAUCUCAAAAAAUUUGUUCAUGUGGAUUUGUAUGGUUCUCCUCACAAUCACUGAUCUCGUUUCUGUCCCAUUAUUUUUUCAGAAUGUCAUAUCAAUGCAAUGAGACAGUAGAGAGUCUUUUCUUGUAUAGCUUCUUUCACAAGAAUACUGUCUUGGGAUUUAUCCACAUAAUUAAAUCUAUCAGAAGUGUGUUUCUUUUUAUCACUGAUAAAUAUUUCAUCUUAUGGAAAUACAAGUAUUUUUAGGUAUUCAUCACUUGAUAUGUACUUAAUUUAUUUUCAUGUUUUUGGCAAUGUAUUUAUCAGGAUCCCAUCAGAAGAGAUGGAGUUUCAAUAACUGAAUAACAGAUUUCAGAAAAAUUAUGAAAAAAAAUUAUAGACAUGUUAAUAUAAAAAGUAUAAUUUUAGUGCAUCGGUUUCUAGUUCAAGGGGUCAUAAAAUCUCAACCAGAUUUUAAUAAACUAUGAUAACAGCCUUCAGAUGGAAAGCAGGUCACAUAAAAAAAAACUGGGAAUUAGAAUGGCAUGGUAAUUCUCACAGGAAGCACUAACUACAGAGUCUGAGUAAAAAUAUUUUUCACCCAUCCUAUACUCAUACAUCUUAGAAAAUACAGCAUCAUAAAUGGAAUAUUGGUAGAAAUACGAGCAUUAAAGGCAUGCCUAGUGAGGGUUCAUAAAGAAAUGAGGAAAAUGCUUAUUAGAAAGUGGAGGAAAAGUAAUCGUUAUUAUGUAGUAGCAGAAAGCUUGGCGGAAUUGUGUCCUACAGUUAGUUAUGUGGAAAGCAGAACCUAUAGGAAAUGAACUUUAAUAUCUAGCUGAGGGGAUUUCCAAGCAAUGUGCUGAAGGUAGAGCCUUGUUUCUUCCCAUUGCUUACAGUGAAAUGUGAGAAAAGAGAGAGAUUGACGGAAGCGGUGUUAGGAAAAAGGGAAACAGGACCUGAUGACUUGGGAAAUUCUCAGCCAAUCCAGAUUGCAAAGGCACUAAAAUUAGGAGAUUCAUAAUCAAGAAAGCCUGUUCUGGACAGAAAGCCAAGGUGUGGCUGGACAACCUUUUGCUAGUACUUUGGAAGGAUCAAAGGAUCAGAGUAUUCAAUUACACACAUGGCCUUUUGAAAGGAUUAGAGCAGUGAAUCAUGGUUCCCCUCAGCCCUCCAAGCAGAAGCCAGGAAUAGAGAUGGUAUUAUAAAAAAAAGAUUUGUGGAUGAGCCUCUUGUCUAGUGGAGAGAAUCCCUGAAACAUACAGGGAAUAUUUGCAAGAUUCUUAAGAAUGUUGUGCCAACAGACAUACUCAAUGUCAGCUUGAACUAAAAGGGAGACAGAACAAAAGGAGGGAAGGCUAUUGAAUUCUCCAAAUUCUACAUGUAGAAAACAAAUUGAUAAAACUACUCAGCUGCAAACAUGUAGAGUCUCUACAAUAGCAGCAGAGCCAGGAAACACAGAGAAUGAUUCUCAAGCUUUGAAACCUAAUGUUGAAUGCAAAAACAGAUUUUGAAAUUGCUCACCUCUGGUGAUUCCUUUUGUGAACUGGAUAUCUAUUAGUGUUAUCUGAUCCCUAUCUCACCAUAGUAUUUUAGGAGGCAAUAUCAUGUUUUAUAGUUUCACAGAUCUCCCAACGGAGAAUAAUUUUGCCCCAGAGUGGAUAAUAGUGAACGCCCUAACCAUGACUAAUUUAGAUAAAUUAGAUUACAAGAUUUGGGCCUUCCAUGAUAAUGAGACCUAUAUCCUAAUUUCUGGAACCUGUGAAUAUGUUGUGUGUAAAGUACGAGACUCUGGGGAUAUUAAGUUAAGGAUCUGGAGAUGGAGAGAUUAUUCUGGAUUAUUUGGGUAGACCCAAUGUAAUCAUGAAGGUCCUACAAAAGGGAGGCAGGGGUGUAAGAAUCAGAAAAGACCAUGUGAUUGAAGAUUGGAACUGAAAGAGAGAGAGUGAUUAGCAGAUAUUUGCUGUUGGCUUUGAAGAUAUAAGAUAGGCCACUUCUACAAGUCAAGGAUGCAGAAAGUAUCUAGAAGCUAGAAAAGGCAAGGAAACAAAUUUUUCUGUAAAACCUUUAAAAGGAAUGCAGUUCUAUUGAUCAAUUUUAGACUUCUAACCUCCAGAACUGCAUGAUAAUGCAUUUGUAUUAUUUUAAGACGUUAAGUUGUGGCUUCCCCUUCCUAACUCCACCCGUACUACCACAGCCACCUUGUCCCUCUCCCAUUCUCCUACCUUAGGGUAGAAGGAAUAGAGGAAAAAUAAACAGAAACCAGAAAUUGUAAUGCAAUAUGAAAGAUGUGUUUUAUGGAGUUUUCAGAAACUUGAAACAAUUCAAUAGAGGGGUUUAUCAGAGUUCUUAGAUUGGGGCCCCAUUGGUGUCUUUCCUUCAUAGGAUAGAUGUAAACAGGGUGGACACUGGACCACACGGCAGUGUAUUAAACUGGUGAGUGUCGUUCGGGGGCUCUAUGUCCCAUUCUGCAAUGUAAGGAACCGCCAUGUAAGUAGAAGGUUAAGUAAUGCUGUCGGGUUUACCAGUCUGGCUAAAAGUCACAGUAGGAGAUCCAGACACAGGUAUCCUUCUGGAAAAUACUUGAAGAGGAGGCUUUCUCAAAGCAAAAGUCUCCAGGCCAAUACAAAGAAAUUUGUAUUGUUUUAAAUCAUCAACUUUGUGGUAAUAUUUUACAAUAGCAGUAGGGUGCUAAUAUAUCAUCCAUACUAUUAAUCAAGGGUGAAAGCAACAUAAAAUUACCCUCAGAUAUAGCUAGAUCCCAAAAUUCAUUUUAUGUACUCUUUUUCUAGGAGGAUCUUGAAGGACGUGUCUUCCAAACAGAGUAUAGUUCCAAAGAAGACAUGGUAUCCCAGCAACCAAAUGUACAACACAGGAGACAGAUGAAUUUCUCAUUCUUGUAGGCUACCAUUUCUUUUGGCUUAUUACAAAACAACAGGAUGCUGCAGCUUUAUCAAAGUCUACUUAUUUGUCCACUAAAAGUUUAUGGCUAUACGUUUCCAACUAGAACAUCUGAACACCAAUAUAUGGAAUUCUGACAAAGUUAAAACCAGGAAGAGAUCCUAUGAAGGCUGACAUUUUGUACAUCUGUUUUAUAGAACAAUAAAAAUAAGAAGAACAAGAAUAAGAACAGCAACAACAUUUGCAGCCACUGUCUAGACCACAGGAAACCUGGUCAACAACAUAUGGGAUGUCACCAGAUUCAGACUCAGAAGUUUCCAUAAUGCCGUUGCCAACAGCUAGACACAAUGAAGAAACGGCUAUAUAGAGAGAUAAAGAAGCUUGCUCAAGGAUACACAGCCAGAAAGCAAAAGAGUUGGAGUUUGAACUUCGACAGUCUAACUCGAGGUUCUUUCUCUGUGUUUAAUCAGUCAACCACACUGCCUCUUCAGAAGCACGCAUAAUGUAUGCUCUAAAAAGUAAUGUCAAUGUAUUAGGUGUCAAACAGUAAAUGAAAUUUCUCAGAAUACUGCUCUCUACCAUAUCAAUAGUAGAUUUAAUACAACCACCAGGCAAAUCAAGCUAAGAAACUCAGCCCUGGAGAUCAGACCAAACUGGUGGCCAGCCAAGAAAUAGACAAAGGAAUGUUCAGGGGCAGAGUUUAGGGAGGUUGGAGUGUGUGUUCACAGGGGCAGAGGGAGUAAGGGGUGAUGUGCGGUCAAGGUUUACAGGUUAGGGCAUGGAUCAUAGAGGUGAUACCAGGGAAGGGAGUACAGGAAAUAAUCCCAUCCAAGUAAGAAAUCAUCAGAUGCAUGGUUCCGUUUUUAAGCUGCCAAAAUUAAGAAGGUGGGCAUGAAUUUGCACAGGACUGUGGAAAACAGAAGUUUCUGGGUCUGGCUUGGGAUUUUACACAGCUGCAUUAUGGGGGUAUCACUAUAUGAUUUCUAAGCAAAGAUCUCUUGGUUUGAGAAGCUUUCAUGGACAGAGAGACUGCUCAUAUCCCCAGAAUGGGGCAGGGAUAAAUGGGAGAGAGAUGGCAGAGAAGUUAUCACUAAUGAAGCGUCCCAGGUAUUCUGUUGUAUGUCUAGAGGUGAAAAUAGAAAGCUCUGCUCCUUAAAAGCUAUGAGAACUUAAGAAAGUUCAUGACCAUUUGUAAGCUAGGGUUAUUAAGAGGGUCUGUUUUAUAUGGAUCAAUUAAGUAACAAACACCUUUUGAAAUAUAAGUUGAACACAGCUUUUUUAGAAAUUUGUAAACUUUAUUUUGAUAAGCCAAAACACAUAUAAAUAUUCAUAUUCCUCUCCUCACAUUUUUAUAAGAAUUCAAGCUAGAAAAAAUUAACUAUGUUGAUAGGCUUAGAGAAAAAUUAGGUGUCAGUGUCCCACAGAAUUCUCUCCGUCUAUUAGUUACAAUGAAUCUUAACAGUUUAUUUUUUAAUAAGUGGAAUAUGUUAAUCAAUUAACUGAGCUAAAGCUAUUACCUAAUGAGGUAGAAGGGUAAAUUAACUGAAAUGUGACUGGCAUUCUUCAAUAUAAGAAAGACACUAUUAGCCUGGGAAUCACGUGGAUAUUCUGUGGAUUCACAGACACAUUAGUCCAUGUGCCUUCAGUACAGCUUUACAUGCAGCUUGUUCUAAAAUCUCAAGUUAGCAAGUUUCUGUAUUCCUAAAAGGUAAUAAUUAGAACCAGAGUAUCUGGGGAAGUCGCCACACAGCAAUAAAUAUUGGGUCUCUAGAGCCAAGUCUUAACAUUUUGUUUUCUUAAUAGCUUAAAUUAUUUAUGAACAUGUGUUUGAACAAUUCUUAAAUCCAGUAGCUAAAUUGAGUUGCAUAUAGGCCUAGAAGGGUCUAGGCUAGGGCCGUUCUGUGGAAAAUCUGUUAAGUCAGGAAGCAGAAAUAAUUCUGCUUAAUCUUUGAUUGUCAACCAUAGUGGGGGAUGGUAAGAAUAAUGGGAGACUUUAUAUAAAGGCAGCUGCUUAUAAUUGAGGCAUUGUCAGCUGACCACAAACAUUUGUUUCCACUGAGAUAUUCCUAAUGAGUGCUACUGUUGAAGGCAAUGCAUUAAUAUUUAUGUGAUUAUUGUUUUAUAUCUAAGAAGGGAUCAAGAGGGUAAUCAAAUAUUCAUGUUACCAGGCAAGCAAUGGGCUCACUGCCUGAUGAGCAUAGAAAUCAAUACCAUGGCACCAGCUUUUGAGAAAAUAAAAGCUUUAUUGCAAGUGAUUGGCAAGGAGACAAGAGGCAACACAAAUAUGUCUCCCAGUGCUGGGGGCUGGGGCAAAUUUUAUAGGCAGAGGGUAAUGAUAUGAUUGGAUCUGGCAAUGAGAAAUGCUGUGAGGCAUGAUCGGACUGGAUUGUGCCAUGAAAUGAUGCCAGGGCUUGAUCUGAUUGGAUCGUAUAUCAAGACAUGAGGUGUCCACUUAUUAAUUCAGUCCCCCAUUUCUUGGUCUGAGCACUUAGGUUCCACCCAUGCUUGCAGGCUUAGAUAAUCUGGACAUGCUCAGGUUGCAUAACUUGCAACCUAGGGAAUCCAUGGCAACUGAAAACUCACCAUUUUAUUACACAAAGUUGAGUCAGAUUAGGCUGGUUCUGUGGUUACAAUAAUCUACCACAGAGUUUUUUAAGAUUUAACUUCAAAUAUCCUGCAUCAGAACCAUCUGGAAAACUUGAGAAUCAUCGCAGAAUGUACAAAAUGUUUGCUAGUGUAGCCCGGUAAUAUUCAUGUUUUAUUCUUUCUGGGCCUCUGCCAAUGCUUUCUGAGAAUAUUCCUGAGAAUCAUCCACUUUGUAGCUACUCAUAAAUAUGAUGUUUGGUGACAGAUCGCCUUCACUUCCCCAGUACUUCCAACACUUGUGAGUGCCUUUACUUCACUGUAUUAUAUCUCUUCCUACUCAAAAUACACAGAAUGCCUUCUGCUUUCCAGACUGAAUCCAAACUGAUAUGCUCAGGUGAUAGAGAAAAGACACUGAAAUUAAAAAUGUGACUUCCGUUUUACUAUUGCUAAUAAUGAAGCGUCCUUUUACUCUUUUAUAGUAGGUGAUCUCCCACCAGAGUGUACCAACAAGUGGAUCGGUCAAGAUAAAUCAUUACAGUGUGUCGAGAAACUAUUAGAACACCUAUUUAAAGGCAGUCUUAAUUUUUCUUAAGUUCUAAAAGCAUAAAUGAAUGUCAAUAUUUAUAUGUGUAAGCUGUUAAAAAUUACAACAAAUACUCUAAUGCUUAUCAACAACCCUGGUAACUAAAACAUCAGCAAUAUUUCUGAGUUUCUCUUCAAAUUCAUCUUCUCUUUUCUGCUGUUUGUCUCUUUCCCAAAGUAUACAUUGGUAAUAAAACUGAAAUUUUGGUCUUCAUUUCUUUACUCCAUUUGCAACUUGCUUUUAUAUUAACUAACACAAGGAUUUUCAGAUUUAAUUUAUGUAACUUCUCUAGUAGCUACAGUUCACCCUUUUUUACUACAGAAAAGUUUUGUAUUAUGAGAAUGUAACACAAUAUGUUAAUUUAUUUUUCUCCCUGUAAUUAUUAUGAUUCUUUUUUCGGUACUUUUGUUCGUUCGUUUGUCUCAUUUGUUUUGCCAGUAUACACAGUGCCACUGUUAUAAGCAUUCAAUAUUUGUUAUGUAACUACUGGCAAACAUAGGUCAAUGUUUCCAUAUAUAUUCUCUCAGGAGAUUUCUGUCUUGUUGGGUCUUCACAUUCUCAGCUUCAUUAGAUAAUGCCAAAUUGCUUUUCAAAAUAUUCCCACUAGUGUAGAGUCUAUCGGGUUUGUAUGAGUUCCCGUUAUUCUACAUCCUUGCCAAAGCUUCAUGUUUUGGGACUUGUUAAUUUUUGCCAAUCUGGUGGGUGUAAAAUGGUAUCUCAUUGUGGCUUUAAUUGGAAUUUCCCUGAUUACAAAAGCGGUUAAACUCCUUUUACAGAAUUAAGAGCUAUUCAUCAAAAUGCCCGUUUGUGCAUAUUGCCAAUUAGUAUGCUGAGUUAUUUAUCUUUUUCUUACUAAUUUGUGGGAGGUUUUCAUAUGUUCUGGAGAGUAAUCCUUUGUUCAUUACACAUUUGUUGAACCAGUCUGCAUUGUUUCUCUUUGCAUUUUUUGUAUUUAUUGCUACACAGAAAUUAUUAACUUUUUUCUCA